Long non-coding RNA from Lynx canadensis (Canada lynx), 1972 nucleotides. RefSeq lists it as uncharacterized. NCBI's taxonomy places the organism in Eukaryota, Metazoa, Chordata, Mammalia, Carnivora, Felidae. The transcript is spliced from 6 exons. The record is from RefSeq and is a predicted model, not a curated record.
UCCGCCGGCGCUGGGCGGAAGAGGAGCUUCCGGCUGGUGUGGUCGCCCGGCCGGUUCUCCCAAGCCGUCCACGCCGCCGGUUUCCAUCUCCCACAAUCCUCAGACAUCCGCAGCUUCCCGCACUGUCGGCUGUAUCUUCGGCCGCUGUCCCGCGCCAUAGGUCGCGGCUGCCCGGGGUGAGUCCACUGUGGGGAUCGCUGGGCGCGUGGUCUGCCCCCCACCACCUUUCGGGGAAACUGAGGCCCGAGGAGUCGGGGAGAGCCGGCGGAGGUCAGCCGCGGUUCCAGGCCUCGCCCCUGGGUUCGGGCCCAGCUCCUCCACCGAGAGGUCGGUGCGGACCUCUCAGGAUGCGUGUCCCGGGUCGGAUCGCUCGCCCUCAGCCCCCCUCACCCCUCCGCCGGGAAGACUCGAGUCCCGCCAACUACCAGAAGCGGGUCCGGCGACGCGCAGACCGAGUGCCGCCGCCAGUGGUGCGGAUCCCCGUGUGGCCCCGGGCCUGAAGAGCUCCCGGGGCCGCGUGAUUUUCACGCACACACCCACCUCCGGCUCUGGGCCUCGAAUCCCCCAAAGCGCUUCAUCGGUUGCCCACGAAGUGACCAUGUGAGCGUUAACCCGUUUUCUUGUCAACAGCCUUUAAGAGAAAGCGUUAAAACCCCCGUUGUGCAGAGCGGUUGCGUGAGUUUUCAAUUGGGGGCGCUCGCGGGGCCCCAGAGCGGCAGAGACCGAUUCCGGUGUCUUUGUUUUGCAGUAAAGCCCCUUCCCCGUGCUGUCUCCUGCGUAGGCGUUGCGGGCUCUGGGGCUCUGUUGGAAGCAGAUGGAAACUCUCCGUUGGACGGCUUUGGGGGCUGUGCGUCAGGCAGCGCCCCCUUCUUUGCUGCAGGACCCUGAGCCGCAGCGCCGGAUGUGCCCCCGCGGUGUCCGGGGGGUGAGGCCUGGCAGCCCGGUGUCCUUUUCUGCUCCUGCGUUGAAGUGAUUACAGGCUGCCUUUUUCUUGGUCGUUGGUAACGCAGGCAAAGGAAAAGUCGCAAGGUUCUUUCUAUAUUCAGAGGUUCCAAAACGGGACAACCUUAGGUGACCAAGCACAAGGUAGAGGGAGGGAGGCAGGCUUUCAGUGUGCUUACCUCCUAAGACCCAGAUUCCCCCAGUGUUUUCCUGUUGGUAAAGAUAGUGGGUUCCUGGGCGUGUAAGCAGUGCCACAGGCUUCUUGUCUCUUGCAGGAGUGGGUCGUGACUGCUGUUCCUUGUUUGUGAAAGGCGACCUCAGGGAGAAGAACAUGGAUUGGGAGGUCCUAGGUGGAUCUGCAUGUCCAGAGGCUCCGUGAGAGGUGUCUUACAGCCAGGCGCGAGGCCACAAAUGCCCCGAGGAGCCGAGGCCAGUCCGCAAGAACACGUUAGUCAAGGCAGUGUGUGAAUUCAGCGCUCGUGUGUCUGUCGUCUUUGCUCCUUGACUGUCUCUUGAGCACAGCAUGCAUUGCUUCUCCAGGAGCUGUCAGAAACGUUAAAUAAAUGGAGAAAGAAAAACAAAGGUCAGCCUUCGGUCCGGAGGCUGUUGAAGUAAGUCCCAAGGCCGUGAGUCAUUGACCCUCGGGAUGACGUGGGAUGUGUGUUCGCUGAGACUUUUCUCCGAGGUUCUCUGGGUGCCAUUAGUAGUCACCAGAGGGGCAGAGAAUGGAGAGGGAGUCCUCUAUGCGAAGCAUCCCCAGAGCACCCUGUGCUGUCCGCUCAGAGCACCUCGGAGCAGCUCUUGGCUCCGCACGUGACAUCAAAGGGAGGUGCUGGGGCUGCGGCCGGGUCCGCUCCAGCUGGCUCUGAGUCGGGACAGCCGUGCCCCGAGAAGCCGAAGAUGGGAGGUCAGCCCCGCGUCCCUCUGCUGUGUCUGGAAUGACUUGAAUGAGCGAACGUUUUCCUCUCGCAUUCCAGCUACUCAUCACUUUCCCCUCUGCCUACUCAUUCAAUAAACCUUACGGACUUGC